RNAcentral lists this ribosomal RNA (497 nucleotides) under uncultured bacterium. RNAcentral describes it as "partial 16S ribosomal RNA". It matches the Rfam family "Bacterial small subunit ribosomal RNA", at positions 28 to 507 of the family's 1533-position model. The record is from RNAcentral.
GAUGAACGCUGGCGGCGUGCCUAAUACAUGCAAGUCGAGCGAACGGACGAGAAGCUUGCUUCUCUGAUGUUAGCGGCGGACGGGUGAGUAACACGUGAAUAACCUACCUAUAAGACUGGGAUAACUUCGGGAAACCGGAUCUAAUACCGGAUAAUAUUUUGAACAGCAUGGUUCAAAAGUAAAAGACGUUCUUUCUGUCACUUAUAUAGGGAUCCUCGCUGCAUUAGCUAGUUGGUAAGGUAACGGCUUACCAAGGAAACGAUGCAUAGCCGACCUGAGCGGGUGAUCGGCCACACUGGAAAUGAGACAAGGUCCCGACUGCUACGGGAGGCAGCAGUAGGGAAUCUUCGGCAAUGGGCGAAAGCCUGACGGAGCAAAGCCGCGUGAGUGAUGAAGGUCUUCGGAUCGUAAAACUCUGUUAUUAGGGAAGAACAUAUGUGUAAGUAACUGUGCACAUCUUGACGGUACCUAAUCAGAAAGCCACGGCUAACUACGUG